GCAGCCCCUAAAUAUUCCCUGGGUGCCCAGGGGGCGGAAACGGACUUUGCAGCGCGCCGUCAGGCCCUGGCCCACCUUCCCGCGCAAAUCGUGCGAGGAGAUGCCUGGACCCGGGUCAGCGCCUCUCGGUCCCGCCGGCCCCGCGCAGCCUAAGGAGCGCAUGCGCGCUCGGGGACUCUGCCCUUGCGCGGGGUGCCUGGGCUGCGGGAGGCAAACGCAGCGGGAAAUCUGCGGAGGACACUGCCCUCGACCCAAGGGUCAGGGAAGGCUUCCUAGGGAUAUUUAAGCAGCGUUCUGGGAGAGGAAGCACAUGUGGACAGAUGGAACCGACGAUGCAAAGGCCAAGAGGGCGACCAUUGGGGGAAAUUGCCAGCAUGAUGUGCCACUCAAGUAUGAGUUCAAGAUGAAAAUUCAGCGAGCCACCCAUGGUCAUGCAGCAGGCUAUUGGCAGGGCGUUUGGGCUGCCAGGAGGGCAGGAACACAGUGCUUCUGUGGUCACCAUAGGUGACCUGAGUCAUUGCGUCAGCUCCAGAGACACAAGCCUGACUGCUCAGAGCACCACGAGUUCCCAACCACGAGAGCUUGUUCAGGGAUGGACAUGCGACAUCAGAACCAAUAAGGUGAAAUAUUGGAAUACUUGCUGGGACUGCUGAGAAGGGUCUACUCUCUCUGUCUCUUUUUCUUCUAGCUGGAUCUGAACUUGAAAGAUAACCUAAGAAUGAAGCCAUUAUGGAAACCAGGAGAAUCUAGAGACAGGGCCAACAGGUCCUGGGGACAGAAUCGGAGCCCUUGAAUAAACCAUGCUUGAAAUUCUCAUCCUUUGGAUUUUUUUAGUUACAUGAGU
Non-coding RNA from Sus scrofa (pig), 844 nucleotides. The record is from RefSeq and is a predicted model, not a curated record. NCBI's taxonomy places the organism in Eukaryota, Metazoa, Chordata, Mammalia, Artiodactyla, Suidae.